RNAcentral lists this ribosomal RNA (476 nucleotides) under uncultured organism. Its description in RNAcentral is "partial 16S ribosomal RNA". It matches the Rfam family "Bacterial small subunit ribosomal RNA", at positions 334 to 801 of the family's 1533-position model. The record is from RNAcentral.
CACUCCUGCGGGAGGCAGCAGUGGGGAAUUUUGGACAAUGGGCGAAAGCCUGAUCCAGCCAUGCCGCGUGCAGGAUGAAGGCCUUCGGGUUGUAAACUGCUUUUGUACGGAACGAAACGGCCUUUUCUAAUAAAGAGGGCUAAUGACGGUACCGUAAGAAUAAGCACCGGCUAACUACGUGCCAGCAGCCGCGGUAAUACGUAGGGUGCAAGCGUUAAUCGGAAUUACUGGGCGUAAAGCGUGCGCAGGCGGUUAUGUAAGACAGUUGUGAAAUCCCCGGGCUCAACCUGGGAACUGCAUCUGUGACUGCAUAGCUAGAGUACGGUAGAGGGGGAUGGAAUUCCGCGUGUAGCAGUGAAAUGCGUAGAUAUGCGGAGGAACACCGAUGGCGAAGGCAAUCCCCUGGACCUGUACUGACGCUCAUGCACGAAAGCGUGGGGAGCAAACAGGAUUAGAUACCCCAGUAGUCCCAUGAU